UCAUAGCAAGGGCCGGGCAAAGACCCGGUGCCAGCCGCCGCGGUAACACCGGCGGCUCGAGUGGUAACCGUUAUUAUUGGGUCUAAAGGGUCUGUAGCCGGCCGGAUAAGUCUCUUGAGAAAUCUGGCAGCUUAACUGUCAGGCUUUCAGGAGAUACUGUCUGGCUCGAGGCCGGGAGAGGUGAGAGGUACUUCAGGGGUAGGGGUGAAAUCUUGUAAUCCUUGAAGGACCACCAGUGGCGAAGGCGUCUCACCAGAACGGACCUGACGGCAAGGGACGAAAGCUAGGGGCACGAACCGGAUUAGAUACCCGGGUAGUCCUAGCCGUAAACGAUACUCGCUAGGUGUCGGCCACGGUGCGAACCGUUGUCGGUGCCGUAGGGAAGCCG
This 388-nucleotide ribosomal RNA is filed under the name uncultured archaeon. RNAcentral's name for it is "bacterial SSU rRNA". It matches the Rfam family "Archaeal small subunit ribosomal RNA", at positions 430 to 814 of the family's 1478-position model. The record is from RNAcentral.